GUUCAUGUUCUGUUCCCCACAGAGGGGGCUCUGCGUCUCUGAACUGUUGUCAGGCCCCACCAGGCUCUUCACUGUUUGGAGCCAGAUCUAUGGAGCCAAACUGCCUUGACCUGCUUUCUGAGGAGGGGACAGGCAGAAAGUGCCGGCCCUAGCCAGAUUCAGCCCGCAGAAGGUGUUCCAGACUCCAAGCAGCCUGCUGGCCUAGCUCCAGGCCCAGGUGGCUGCAGACUCCACAAUGGGUGACUCAGUUCGGUGAUCAAGUUCAUCUUCAAGCAGGUGUAGGAGAAGACUGAUCUUGUCUUCUGUCAAGCACUACAAGGGAGCCAAGUAAAAAACUUCAUUUCAACCACCAUAAAAAGAAACAUUACACAUUAUAACAUAUCUAGAUGGUACAAGCCGAAAAUCAGGAAGGAAAUUACAAACAUGAAGAUAGUUCUCUUCACAGAGAACAAAUACUUCCAGGACAGAGCCAUAGUAUCACACAGAAGCUUUCUGAAUUGCCCUGAAUCUGCUGACUGAGAAAGAUGGAGUCUCCCUGGAACUGCCAAA
Molecule: non-coding RNA, 549 nt
Filed under: Pongo abelii (Sumatran orangutan)
Lineage: Eukaryota; Metazoa; Chordata; Mammalia; Primates; Hominidae
Source: RNAcentral